CACACGACUCUCGGCAACGGAUAUCUCGGCUCUUGCAUCGAUGAAGAACGUAGCAAAAUGCGAUACCUGGUGUGAAUUGCAGAAUCCCGUGAACCAUCAAGUUUUUGAACGCAAGUUGCGCCCGAGGCCAUUUGGUUGAGGGCACGUCUGCCUGGGCGUCACGC
This 164-nucleotide ribosomal RNA is filed under the name Hilaria jamesii. RNAcentral's name for it is "5.8S ribosomal RNA". It matches the Rfam family "5.8S ribosomal RNA". Rfam says of the family: 5.8S ribosomal RNA (5.8S rRNA) is a component of the large subunit of the eukaryotic ribosome. It is transcribed by RNA polymerase I as part of the 45S precursor that also contains 18S and 28S rRNA. Functionally, it is thought that 5.8S rRNA may be involved in ribosome translocation. RNAcentral also lists the same sequence under 2 other names. The record is from RNAcentral. Lineage: Eukaryota; Viridiplantae; Streptophyta; Magnoliopsida; Poales; Poaceae.